RNAcentral lists this transfer RNA (75 nucleotides) under Chitinophagaceae bacterium. RNAcentral describes it as "tRNA-Met". It matches the Rfam family "tRNA". From Rfam's summary of the family: Transfer RNA (tRNA) molecules are approximately 80 nucleotides in length. RNAcentral also lists the same sequence under 1 other name. Lineage: Bacteria; Pseudomonadati; Bacteroidota; Chitinophagia; Chitinophagales; Chitinophagaceae. The record is from RNAcentral.
CGCGAAGUAGAGCAGCGGUAGCUCGUCGGGCUCAUAACCCGAAGGUCACAGGUUCGAUCCCUGUCUUCGCAACUA